RNAcentral lists this ribosomal RNA (450 nucleotides) under uncultured bacterium. RNAcentral describes it as "bacterial SSU rRNA". It matches the Rfam family "Bacterial small subunit ribosomal RNA", at positions 329 to 795 of the family's 1533-position model. The record is from RNAcentral.
CGCCAGACUCCUACGGGAGGCAGCAGUGGGGGAUAUUGCACAAUGGGGGAAACCCUGAUGCAGCGACGCCGCGUGUGGGAAGACGGUCCUCUGGAUUGUAAACCACUGUCCCCAGGGACGAAGAUGACGGUACCUGGGGAGGAAGCUCCGGCUAACUACGUGCCAGCAGCCGCGGUAAUACGUAGGGGGCGAGCGUUAUCCGGAUUCACUGGGUGUAAAGGGAGCGUAGACGGCCAAGCAAGCCAGGGGUGAAAGCCCGGGGCCCAACCCCGGGACUGCCCUUGGAACUGCACGGCUGGAGUGCGGGAGGGGCAGGCGGAAUUCCUGGUGUAGCGGUGAAAUGCGUAGAUAUCAGGAGGAACACCGGUGGCGAAGGCGGCCUGCUGGACUGCAACUGACGUUGAGGCCCGAAAGCGUGGGGAGCAAACAGGAUUAGAUACCCGAGUAGAU